This 366-nucleotide ribosomal RNA is filed under the name uncultured bacterium. RNAcentral describes it as "partial 16S ribosomal RNA". It matches the Rfam family "Bacterial small subunit ribosomal RNA", at positions 338 to 701 of the family's 1533-position model. The record is from RNAcentral.
CCUACGGGUGGCAGCAGUGAGGAAUAUUGGUCAAUGGACGAGAGUCUGAACCAGCCAAGUAGCGUGAAGGAUGAAUGCACGAUGGGGUGUAAACUUCGUUUAUAAAGGAAUAAAACGAGGCACGUGUGCCUUUUUGCAUGUACUUUAUGAAUAAGGAUCGGCUAACUCCGUGCCAGCAGCCGCGGUAAUACGGCGGAUCCGAGCGUUAUCCGGAUUUAUUGGGUUUAAAGGGAGCGUAGGUGGGUUGUUAAGGAAGUUGUGAAAGUUUGCGGCUCAACCGUAAAAUUGCAAUUGAUACGGGCAGUCUUGAGUACAGUUGAGGUAGGCGGAAUUCGUGGUGUCGCGGUGAACUGCUUAGAUAUCACG